AACGAACGCUGGCGGCAGGCUUAACACAUGCAAGUCGAACGCCCCGCAAGGGGAGUGGCCGACGGGUGAGUAACGCGUGGGAACAUACCCUUUUCUACGGAAUAGCUCUGGGAAACUGGAAUUAAUACCGUAUACGCCCUACGGGGGAAAGAUUUAUCGGGGAAGGAUUGGCCCGCGUUGGAUUAGCUAGUUGGUGGGGUAAAGGCCUACCAAGGCGACGAUCCAUAGCUGGUCUGAGAGGAUGAUCAGUCACAUUGGGACUGAGACACGGCCCAAACUCCUACGGGAGGCAGCAGUGGGGAAUAUUGGACAAUGGGCGCAAGCCUGAUCCAGCCAUGCCGCGUGAGUGAUGAAGGCCUUAGGGUUGUAAAGCUCUUUCACCGAUGAAGAUAAUGACGGUAGUCGGAGAAGAAGCCCCGGCUAACUUCGUG
This 431-nucleotide ribosomal RNA is filed under the name uncultured bacterium. Its description in RNAcentral is "partial 16S ribosomal RNA". It matches the Rfam family "Bacterial small subunit ribosomal RNA", at positions 29 to 507 of the family's 1533-position model. The record is from RNAcentral.